Molecule: long non-coding RNA, 2283 nt
Organism: Triticum aestivum (bread wheat)
Lineage: Eukaryota; Viridiplantae; Streptophyta; Magnoliopsida; Poales; Poaceae
Exons: 5
Source: RefSeq, a predicted model, not a curated record
GCCUCCUUUCUUUCUCCCUGCCUCCGCUCCACCAGCCCCGCGACCCGCGACCCCAACCCCUCCCUCCCACGACCUCCUCUCCCCCGAUCCCAUCGGCCGGCGCGACCUCCGCUCCACUAGCCCCGCCAGCGACCCGCUACCCCACCACCGGCGCGCGACAGAUCCAACCCAGCAGCAGCUCAGGUCCCGCGGCCAUGGCAGGGGGAUCCCGAAACCCUACCCUGUGGCGGCUAGGGUUUCAGUCGGCUCCAACUCCAGCGCUGCUCUACCUCCGGCGACUCCCGAGCCCUCAAGCGCCACUCCGUCUCCUGGAUGGCCUCGAGGACGGCAGGUUCUUCCUCAACCUCGAGGACACGCACCGGCAGCCGGCCAUCUCCGUCGAGCCCACCGAUGGCGACCUUCGGAUCUGGCUGCAGUCUUCCACUAUGGAUCAAUAAGCUUGAUUGCCGAGCCUUGCCGGACAGCGCAUCUGCAUGCCAUGAAGGUUGCCAAAGAGGCCGACGCGCUUCUCUCGUAUGACCCGAACCUGAGGGAGGCAUUGUGGCCAUUCCUUAAGGAGGCUCGCACCAAGAUUUUGAGCAUCUGGGACCAGGCAGACAUUGUCAAGGUCAGCGAGGUCGAGCUCAAGGACACAACGUCAGCAUUAGCAGCAAGGAAAGGAAUUCAAGGCCAUGGGAGCUGCUUCUAGUAUAGGACGUGCUGGACCUGUUGCUGCUGCCGGUUGUGUUACCCGACCAAGUCCCCAAGCUGCAUCCUGCUGCUCCUGCCCCGGCCGUCCUCAACUUGCUCCUGGACAGCUACCGCAGAGGAGGUAUGGCUGCCGUGCAAUGAUGCUGGAGACUGUUGCCGCAGUGCUGGGGAUGGAGACAGAUUGCAUUGGAAAUAUUCUGUUAUUCCUUACCUAAUGUUCUUGUUGCUGAUAAUAGGGCAUGUAAAUAGCAAGUUAUUUUCCUAGUGGUUACUUAUGCUUAUUGUGUAUCACAUUUAAAAAGAAAAUGCACAAUGAGCUUGUUUUAUCUUUUCUAUGCUUAUGUAUGCUUGAUCAGGGUAGUUCUUUUUUAAUUUGAUGACAAUGAACCAAUAUAACCAGUCAUCAGUAGCUAGUGUGCAUUGCCAAGUACAACAGUUUUACAUUGUAUGGAAUCAUCUAUAGAUAUUAUUUAUCGAUAUGGGUUAACUCAUCCUUAUUGUUCGAUCCUCUCUUUUAGUUAAUAAUGUAUGCAUGCCUUGUAUGUUCUGUGUUCUUUACUAUACUGUUCUGUCCUCGGGCAAUUAAACAUUGUAUCUGUUUUUAUUGUGAUAUGCAACUCUUCAAAAAAAGAAACUACAUUAUGGAGUUACUCAUCUGCAUGGAAUUUCUAUGUAUUCUGGUAGUUUAUUUUUGAUAUUGUAUUGCUGUAUUCCCAAUCUGCGUGGGAGCCGAAGCUCGAUUUGUUCCUGUUUCUGUUUCUGUUUCAGUACUAGUACAAUGUAAUGAUUUUGUGCUUUCAUGAAGUAUUUUGCGCUAUUUUUUUUCUGUCGAGCAAUUUAGAAGACCUGUAGAGCAUUUAACUAGACAGUUGACUUUGCAUGUGCAACUAUGCUUGCUUAGAGCAGCCCUUGACUGGCUACAUUAUUGUGAUGGACCGUGCUGUUCUUAGUUGUGCUACAGUAUGUGUUCCGUGUUGUUUGCACUUGUUAGCCAAAUCAUUGCACACGCAGUGUUAACGCGAUGUUGUAAAAUUCCUGUUUGUACAAUGUAUCUGCUACAUAUGUUUUCAUCUUGAUAGCUAGCAGCCUAGCACCAUGAACUUUGAUUGUAAAAUCUCUAUAUGCUGUAAAAUUAAUUGGGCCAGUCUCGAAUUUGUUGUGAAUUGUAAGAUGCUUCAAGUAAAUGGUUUUUUGUCUUCUCACGUGUAGGCGGUCAGGCGAGACAGCAAGUAGAGGUUCAGUCUGUUGGAGGAGUAUGGCGAGCUGCUGAUUCGGGCUAAACAGGGGCACACUGUGGCAGUAUGUUUUCUGCCUGAACUCCCCUGCACUAAUGUAUUCUGUUUUUACAAGGCGUCCUGACUAUGAGCAGGAGCAGGUGCAUGUGCCUGUUUGUAAUGCUAACGAAGGAGCUCCAUCCUGAAGAAUAUAGUGCUUGUAGAGCUUGUAAAUUAGUUACUCCACUUGUAGAGUUAUUUGUAGAGCAGGAGCACCAUUUUAUUGCGUGUUAUUUGUAGAGCAGGAGCUCCAUACAGAAUCUGGCUCUAUACUGAAUCUGGCUGUUGUUAUUUGAAGUAUUACAUGUGUUUUUUGUCA